GGCGGGCGGGAAGCCAGGGCUCGACGGGCGGGGAAGGGCUUCGUGGUCGGCCCUAACUCGGCCAGGUUCUUCUCCGCCCUUUGUCAGCUCCACCUCGGGCGCCCGACCCGAACCAUCGCGGCCCCGCCUCCGGGACGCCGGAGUGUGGGAGGGGACAGCUGCCUGGGCGGGCUCCGGGCGGCCCCAGGGGACUGAGCGUGUGCGUAACCUACGUGACAGAGAGCCCAGACGCAAACCUCCGACAACCUCCCUUCUGCUCAACGGAGAAAGGCUGGCGCGUUCUCGCCGCCGCUCAACCCCGCCCCCGAAUCCGCUCGGAAGAGGGCCGAGCGGGGCGUACGUUCCGACCGCGCCCAUUGGUUCCCACGAGGCGCCUGCGCGUGGCGCUGGACGAGCUUCACGCCGACGGACACGUGAGACUACGCAGUGACGUAGGCGUUGCCCAGGAACCAGAACUUGAUGAAGAAAUGCAGAUUCCAGAAUCUUGGACCGAAAAUGUACAGGUCACUGGAGAUUGCUGAUGGAGACCU
Molecule: long non-coding RNA, 530 nt
Organism: Delphinapterus leucas (beluga whale)
Lineage: Eukaryota; Metazoa; Chordata; Mammalia; Artiodactyla; Monodontidae
Source: RefSeq, a predicted model, not a curated record